GACGAAUGCUGGCGGCGUGCCUAAUACAUGCAAGUCGAACGCAGUGGGGACGGGUGAGUAACACGUGGGUAACCUCCCAUCAGAGGGGAUAACACUUGGAAACAGGUGCUAAACCGAUACUGAUGGAAGGACCCGAGGUGAAUUAGCUAGUUGGUGAGGUAACGGCGCACCAAGGCCACGAUGCAUAGCCGACCUGAGAGGGGGAUCGGCCACACUGGGACGGAGACACGGCCCAGACUCCUGCGUGAGGCAGCAGUAGGGAAUCUGCGGCAAUGGACGAAAGUCUGAGCGAGCAACGCCACGUGAGUGAAGAAGGUUUUCGGAUCGUGAAACUCUGUUGUUAGAGAAGCGGUAUCUAACCAGAAAGCCACGGCUAACUACGUGCCAGCAGCCGCGGUAAUAC
This 403-nucleotide ribosomal RNA is filed under the name uncultured bacterium. RNAcentral's name for it is "partial 16S ribosomal RNA". It matches the Rfam family "Bacterial small subunit ribosomal RNA", at positions 28 to 526 of the family's 1533-position model. The record is from RNAcentral.